Molecule: long non-coding RNA, 5619 nt
Filed under: Sus scrofa (pig)
Lineage: Eukaryota; Metazoa; Chordata; Mammalia; Artiodactyla; Suidae
Description: lncRNA (ENSSSCG00060075211.1)
Source: RNAcentral
UUUUUUUUUUUUUUUAGCAGAACUCACUUCUUGGUACCAAUUUCUGCCUUAGUCUUUUUAUGCUACUAUAACAGAAUACCAUAGGUUAGGGUGGCUUAUAAACAACAGAAGUUUAUUUCUCACAGUCCUGGAGCUGGGAAAUCCAAGGUCAAGGUGCUGGCAGAUUUUGUGUCUGGUGAAGACCUGCUUCUGAGUCAUAGAUGACCAUCUUUUCACUGUGUCCUUAUGUGGCAUGAGGGUCAGGGGAGCUCUUCAGAGUCUCUUUUAUAAAUACACUAAUCAUCUCCCAAAGGCUCCACCUCCAAAUACCUUCACAAUAGGGAUUCGAUUUCAACAUGAAUUUUGGUAGGACACAAACACUGUCUGUCACUUUGGGGAUGAGAGAAUAGAAGCAAAGAAACAUCAGAAUCACCUGGACAGUUUGUCCAAACCACAUGUACUCCUUACCAUCCUAGAUUAACUCACUCCCUCCUUUUGGAACCACUGUCAAUGCUCAGCCUUGAAGAAAAGUGUUAAGGAAGCCUAUAUCAGUAGGUUGCUUUUGGUAGCAAAUGACAGAAAAUGUAAAUCAAAAUGGCUUAAAUAACGAAGGGAUUUAUAACCCUUGCAAGCCAAACAUUUACUGAGUAAGUUGGGUUUUUGGAGAUUCUUGAUCCAAAAUACAUCAGCAAGAAUUUUUGUCUCUCUGCUCUGCCUUUUGCAGCCAUUCAACCUAAAGAUGCAUCCCAUUGGAGUCUCAGGAUGGCUAGAGGCAACACCUAAGUUUCCUUUUUCUUCCUUCACUUCUAGAAAGAGAAAGAGAACUUGCUGCUUUCUCAGAAACAGCUCUAAUAUUCACUCUGAUUGGCCUAGAACAUGAUGCGUGCCUACCUCUGAACCAAUCAUUGUAUAGAGAUAUGGAGUGCGUUUAUUGGCUUAGUUUUUCUUAACUGCUCCACCCCUGAGAAAGUGAUGGCAGUUGGAAGGGAAAGUUGGAAGGUGGGAGAAGGAAUUGAUAUUGGCAGUGUAGCCAACUAAGGCUGUGGGAUGGUCUAUAAAGUUAAGUGCAAAUCAGUAAUAAAAAAUCAUGAGACUCAUUUCACCCAUUCUUAGCACCAGUCCUGUUAAUUUCUAAUAGGGCUUCUCAACUUUGGCACUAUGGACACUGGGCUAGGUUUUGCCCUUGCUCUGUGGGCUGUCCCAUGCAUUGUAGGAUGCCUAGCAGCAUCCCUGGCUUCUACCCACAAGAUGCCAGUAGUAACCUCAACCAUCACCACUCCCUCACAGAUGUGGCAACUAAAAAUGUCUCCAGACAUUGCCAAAUGUCCUCUAAGGGACAAAAUUUCUCUCUCCAAACCACUGUUUUAUAGUUGAAGCUCCUAGAUAAAAAUCUCUAUCAUAGAAGUAGAGAUCCAUUUUCAUCAAUUUCUCCAACGUUUAAGAAAAUAAUUUAAACUGUAGCGUGAAGAAAUGUUAGAUGUAAAGCAGAAUUUCCUAUCAUCACACAUGUGCAUACAUAUUAAAUUUAUCCAUAUAUUACUAUAUUAUUUACUGCAAUUCUUUUUAAAAAUGUUCUCACAUUUGAUGUGAAGCCUAAGAUGAAAGGUGUUACUAGAUCACUUUUCAGAAUUCCUCCUAAGCAUCAGUUGGUAAGAUUUCUCAGCCUCUUUCAGAGGAGAAGCAUUGCACUGAAUAUUUGUAAAUAUUAUUGAUAUUUGUAAAUAUUAUGAGUGUGGGUGCUUCUGGUACAUAGAUCACACUUUGAGUAGCAAAAGGCUAUAAUUUGGCAGAAUGCAGGAGGGGAAGUUUGAGCUCUGCUGUGCUCAACUUAGAUCCAUGUGUCUUCUCAUUCUGGAACCCACCUAAAGAGCAGAUACUAUCUGGAACUGGUCUCAUGGUGGAAGGCAAAAGGUCAAAGAGGGAAACAAAGCCAUAUCAAAGAUAUAAUGGGGAGUUCCUGUUGUGGCUCUGUGGAAGUGAAUCUGACUAGUAUCCAUGAGGACACAGGCUUGAUCCCUGGCCUCACUCAUUUGGUCAUGGAUUCAGCUUUGCCCUGAGCUGUGGUGUAGGUUGUAGAUGCAGCUCGGAUCCUGUGUUGCUGUGGCUGUGGUAUAGGCCAGCGCUACAGCUCUGAUUCGACCCCUAGCCUGGGAACCUCCGUAUGCCAUGGAUGCGGCCCUAAAAAGACAAAAAUUUUUUAAAAUGAAAAUACAAACACUGUGUGUGCGAUGAUCGCCCAUCAUGUUUAAAAUCAGAAAUCUUUAAAGUGUCUUUAAAGCAAGUUACAUGACCCAGCCCAAAGUCAUUGGUGUAGGGGAAUUCCUACAUGUUAGAAAACACAUAGUGGUAAGUGUUGCAGAGCAUGCACAGGUGGCCCAAAGUACUCUCUACGUGGGAGAGUCAAGGAAGGCCUCAGAGAGAAUAUGAUGGUUAAACCAGAUUUUGAAGGAUAAGUAAAAGUUCUUAGCAAACUGGGAAUGGAGACCAAGGCGGGAGAGAGGGCACUGAAGCCAAGGGAAGAACAUAAAGCAGAGAGCUACAUGUUCUUCAAGAGGAUCUCUAUAAUCACAGGGGAAGAUGUUCAACAUCAUUAAUCAUACAGGAAAUGCAAAUCAAAACCACAAUGAGAUUUUACUUUAUCCCCACUAGGCUGUCUCUAAUCAAAAAGAACAGAGAAUAAGAAGAGCUAGUAAGAUUAUGGAGAAAUUGGAACCUUUUCACACUGUUGGUGGGAAUGUAAGAUGGUGUAGCUACUUUGGAAAACAGCCUGCUCCUUCCUCACAAGGUUAAACAUGGAGUUACCUUAUGAUCCAGGAAUUGCACUGCAACGUAAAUACAGGCAUACCUUGCUUUAUCGUGCUUCACAGACAGUGCAUUUUUUCCAAAUUUAAGGUUUGUGGCAAUCCUGUGUUGUCAGAUGAUGGUUAGCAUUUUUAGCAAUAAAGUAUUUUUAAAUUAAGGUGUGUAUGUUGUUUUUUGGAUGUAAUGUUAUUGUGCACUUAUUACAGUAUAGCAUAGUGUAGACAUAACUUUUAUGUGCACUGGGAAACCAAAAAAAUUCACGUGACUUGCUUUAUUGUGAUAUUCGAUUUAUUGUGUUGGUCCUGAACCCAACCCGCAAUAUCUCCAAGGCAUGCCUAUAUAUACUCAGGACAACUGAAGGCACACAUUUACACAAAUACUUGCACAUGAAUGAUUCAUAGUUGUACUACUCAUGAUAGCCAAAAAGUGGAAACAACCCAAAUGGCCAUCAACUGAUGAAUGAAUAAAUACAAUGCGGUAUAUCCAUACAAUGGAAUAUUAUUUGUCAAUAACAAGAAAUCAAAUACUAAUACAUGCUAUAUCAUUAUGCAAAUGAAAGAAGCCAGACACAAAAGGUAAAUAUAUGAUUCCAUUUAUAUGAAAUGUCCAAAAUAGGCAAAAUUAUAGAAAUAGAAAGUAUAUUGGUGGCUGCCUAGGACUGAGAAGGGAUUGGAGAGAAAUGGGGAGUGACGGCUAAUGGGUAAGGGGUUUCUCUUGUGGCUGAUGAAAAUGUUCUAAAUGCAAUUGUGGCAGUGGUUGCACAACUUUGUAGAUAUACCAAAACCAUUAAAUUGUUUACUUUUGUGGAUGAAUUGUACAGUAUGUGAAUUAUAUCUCAGUAAAACUAUUAGCAAAAAAAUGUUCCACAUGGUACACAUGGUAAGGCAUGGAGGCAUAGGAACAUAGUGUAUUUAAGAACCUAAGCAGGAGUUCCCUUGUGGCACGGUGGUUUAAGGAUCCAGUGUUAUCACUGCAGUGGUUCAGAUUCCUGCUGAGGUGAGGGUUUGCUCCCUGGUCCCUGAACUUCUACAUGCCACAAGCGUGGCAAAAAACAAAAAACAAAAAACAAACAAACAAUCAAGAACCUAAAAGCAGAUUGACGUAACUAUUAUGGAAUGGGAAUGGACAUGUCUAGGAAGGCAGGUAAGGAUUAGAUCAUGGAGGAUCUGAGGGCAGCUCACAGCAAGAAGAACAUUUUAGGAAUAUUAAUUCAUAUAUGGAGGCUAGGUCUGAAGGAAAGGGAUGCAAAGAGGAUAGGUAGUUGAGACUACUGAAGUAGAUCCAAUAUUAGUUCAUGAGGGCUGAGCCAAAAUGAUGGAAAGAUCUUUCUUACACAUGUUUGUGUCCCUAACAACUUAACAUGCCUGACACAAAACAGUGCCCAAUACUGUUUAGUGAAUGAAUGAAUGAAUGAAGUGGAUGAUUACAUUUUGCAUUUUCAUAGUUUCUGUUAUUAGUUAGAAAAUUUGGGGACACAACAAGGGAUUUUGGGGAGUGAGCUCAGGACUGUAACAUUUAGAGCAAGGAUACUUUUUAUGAGGGGAAUGGCUAUUUCAGGAAGAGAGAAAAAAUGAUGGUAGGUCCAAAGGUAUACUUUAUCCCUCUGUUUUGCCUAAGGCCAGCCUACUGUGUGCCUGGGGAUUUUUUUUUUUAAUGAAGAAAUAUAAGAGGCUGGUAAACUCCUUCUGACUUUGGUGCCUUCAGGCUUUUGUACCCAUUAGCCAAGCAGACAUAAUCUACUCCCACACAUAAGACAUAACCUAGUAUACUUUACAGUAUGUAUGGACCAGAUAAAUAUUUUAUUUUAUUUUAUUGUCUUUUUUUUUUUUGCCUUUUCUAGGGCCGCUCCCGUGGCAUAUGGAGGUUCCCAGGCCAGGGGUCUAAUCGGAGCUGUAGCCGCCGGCCUACGCCAGAGCCACAGCAACGCGGGAUCAGAGCCACAUCUGCGACCUACACCACAGCUCAUGGCAACGCCAGAUCCUUAACCCACUGAGCAAGGCCAGGGAUCGAACCCACAGCCUCAUGGUCCCUAGUUGGAUUCGUUAACCACUGAGCCACGAUGGGAACUCCCAGAUAAAUAUUUUACUGAGGCUCAGUGACUAAGAUUCAACCACCAGAAACCACUUAGAUAAUUUUGUUUUUCAAUCCAUUUCCUCCUGGUCAGCUAUGGCCACCCUACUCCGCUGUGAUACAUCCUUAGAUGAUAAAACUGGAAGAUCUAACUUCUAUGUACUAUAGCUUAGAGUUAAAGGUUGUGACCUAAUUUCUAAGCAGAGCAGAAGAAUCCUCUCUGGAGAGGGAUUACACACAAGGAGAUGAAGUGUUUAUGUUUGUAAUAACGGGAUGCCGCCACAGAAGACUAUGCUCUGUGUUAAUGAUUGAAGAACAAUUUUAUUUGUAGAUUUGCAGGGUGUAGGCGUUGGGGAGGGUUGCACAUUUGCCUCAUUCUGAGCCAUCUUCAACCUAUUCUCUAUGACAAGGAGGCUUCCUCUGGACUUCCUUUCCCUGCCUCAGUAAGACGAGCUUGGGUAUGAGUAAUUGAAAACUCUGUGCCGAGGGGGAGGGAGUGGGAUGGACUAGGAAUCUUGGGUUAAUAGAUGCAAAGUAUUGCAUUUGGAGUGGAUAAGCAAUGAGAUCCUGCUGUAUAGCACUGGGAACUAUAUCUAGUCACUUGUGAUGGAACAUGAUGGAGGAUAAUGUGAGAAAAAGAAUAUAUAUACGACUGGGUCAUUUUGCUGUGAAGUAGAAAAUUGACAGGACACUGUAAACCAGCUAUAAUAGAAACAAUAAAAAUCAUUACAAAAAUAAAAAAAUCAAGCUAAAAAAAGAAAUAAAAAA